Molecule: RNase P RNA, 387 nt
Filed under: Bacillus solimangrovi
Lineage: Bacteria; Bacillati; Bacillota; Bacilli; Caryophanales; Bacillaceae
Description: Bacterial RNase P class B
Rfam family: Bacterial RNase P class B
About the family: Ribonuclease P (RNase P) is a ubiquitous endoribonuclease, found in archaea, bacteria and eukarya as well as chloroplasts and mitochondria. Its best characterised activity is the generation of mature 5'-ends of tRNAs by cleaving the 5'-leader elements of precursor-tRNAs.
Source: Rfam by way of RNAcentral
ACGUUCGGGUAAUCGCUGUAAGUUUUAUUCUUGCAGAGGAAAGUCCAUGCUCGCACGGUGCUGAGAUGCCCGUAGUGUUCGUGCUUGGCGAAGUCAUAAGCCAAGGCAUCCUUUGAAUAAGGGUGACGGCAGGGAAAACAGCUAAGCCAUUUGGUAUGCUGUGACUACCUUGAAAGUGCCACAGAGACGUAGUUCUGUCGGAAACGGCAGAAGUGGAACGAGGUAAACCCCUCGAGCGAGAAACCCAAAUGAUGGUAGGGGCGCCUUCUCAAAGGAAUUCAACGGAGAGAAGGGCGAGGUGAUAAGCCUCGAAGAUAGAUGAUUACCACCGGAGUACGAGGCAAUUUGCCGCUUGCAGUACGAUGGAACAAAACAUGGCUUACAGAA